Molecule: small nucleolar RNA, 81 nt
Organism: Hyla sarda
Lineage: Eukaryota; Metazoa; Chordata; Amphibia; Anura; Hylidae
Product: small nucleolar RNA SNORD103/SNORD85
Exons: 1
Source: RefSeq, a predicted model, not a curated record
CCUGGCGGGGAUGACACACUUGCCCUCACUGAGCGCAGUACUGACGAUACAAUAUCCGUACUCAUCUGAUGCUGAGCCGGG